Molecule: long non-coding RNA, 3688 nt
Organism: Megalobrama amblycephala (Wuchang bream)
Lineage: Eukaryota; Metazoa; Chordata; Actinopteri; Cypriniformes; Xenocyprididae
Exons: 2
Source: RefSeq, a predicted model, not a curated record
CCCCCCAGUGGGACCAAACCCAUACCGAACCGUGACUUCAACACUGAGCUGCGGCUGUGGUUGUGUUCCCUGUGCUCUCCUGCAUGUGAUAUGAGCUUUCAUCUCCAAAAACACCAGCACUCAGGAGAUACUGAGAGGGAUUUGUCAUUGACUAAAGAGAACUCAUGUCACUUUUUGUACAUAAUUUGUAUUUGUAUUAUGCUAUGUAUUUUUAGAUUUUGUAGACAUUUUACUCAAGAUUAAACCUUUAAGAUGUCCUAUUUACUUACAUUUUGACUUUAGGCCUGUUAGUUUUCAGAAUGGGUCAAGGAUGAUGUCAUAAUAUCUGUUUUCCGGCUAUUGUCAGCUGGAUCUCUUUGUUUUCCAGUCCUUUUGGAUCACUUUACCAAAAACUUGUGAGAGGCUCAUUAGAAAACCGUGCUUCUACCUACAAUUGUGCAAUACUCCAAAAAAGCACCUAUACAUACAGUUCCGGCUACAAUGAACACUAGUGGCAGUAAAACACCAAUAUAAUGUAGACUAUAUAAUAAAGACUUAUUUUCACGUUGUAACUUGCACAAUACUGUUACUGACCGCAAAACACUUUUUCCAUAGUGCAUUUUGACAUUUGCAUCACAUAACCAGUUCUGUACGUAUGGCUUUUCUGAUGUAACUUGGGUAGCACUUUAUUUUACAACCUACCCCUAAACCUAAUAUUAACCAACCUUAUAUUAUUCGGAACUUUCUUGUAAGUACACUGUAAGUUAAUUGAAAGUGCACAUACUGUAAAAUAAAGUGCAACCUAAACUUGCUUGGUAGCUCAUCUGGUACAGCAUUGUAUUUGCAAUGCAAUGUGCUCAGGUAUAAGUCCUGUGAACCCAGAGUUACGAUAAAAGAUGGCAAAGCUUCAGAUUGCUUCAGCAAAUGUGUUUUUAGAUAAAUUUUGCUUUUGCUAACACUCACCGGGCAUUUCAUUUCCAAACUGCCACAAUACGUACAACAAUAUCAUUGCCAGAUUCUGUUUGGGUAAAACUUUUUGUGGCACUCACUGGAAAUUGCACUUUGAAAGUGUCAUGAAACAUGAAAAAAUGUUGCCACAGGCAUGUUUUUCCAAUGAGCCAGGAGUGGUAUCUGUCUGUCUAUGAUCUAUCUAUUUGGUGUGUGUGUGUGUGUGUGUGUGUGUGUGUGUGUGUCCCUGAAUGAGGCAAUAAUUUCAACAUCUGUUGUUCCAUUUCUCCAGCCAAAGCUAUUCAUCACAAUGGGAGUGAAUGGAAUUCCUAAAACCUUUAAAAUCUAACAAACAAAUAAAGCUUAAGAACAGAUGAUUUGCACCCUUCCAUUUUCUUUCGUUUCACUUCAGUGAGCCUCUUCCUCACGCAGCUGCAGCCAAUGAUAGGAACAACUAAAAGUAUUAUGAGAUGAAUAAUAGCUUACUAUAAAUUUCCAUAUCUCAUAUAAAUAUUUAUUAUGUCAGCAGGGAUGAUGCCUAGAUUAACUCCAUCUGAAUAGAAUGGUUUAAGCAAGGCUGGCCAUACACAAUGAGUGUAAUGCAGAACAGGUCCGCAGAGGCCAGACAUUAUCAAUGGGGAGAUUGGAAAGAAAUGCCUCUGCAGUUUUUCUCCAUCUGCUGUUAGUCUCUCACACACAAACACAUACAGUGCGACCAGGCUAGUGACUCACUCUCUAGCUGAUGGUGUUUUGGUAUUCGUGUGGCAUGUAGCCAGUAGGAAUACUGCAGUGUACACACACACACACACACGCACGCACACAUACAGUGUGUACUCAUACAAAUUGACCUGGUAGCUUCAUGUGUGUUUGCUUAGAAUAGACUGAUCUGUAUCUUAUGAUCACCAGGACUGCAUUUAUUUGAUCAAAAAUAUUAUUGAAAUAUUAUUACAAUUAAAAAAAAACUAGCAGCCAUUACUCCAGUCUUCAGUGUCACAUAAUCCUUCAGAAAUCAUUCUAAUAUGCUGAUUUGCCGCUCAGGUGAAAUUUACAGUAUUUUACAAUCGCUAAGACACAUUUCUCAAUACUUAGGUUAGUUUUUCAAAUCUCUUCAGCAGUUAAUAUCAUAUUCAAAAUGCACUAAAACUACCAGAACACUUCAUACAUGUCUCAAAUCAGCUCAUUCUUCCAUAACACUAGCAAAGGUUUUCACCCAACCAACACACUUUCUGUCAGGACCACUAUAUCGUCAAACAUGAUUGACAGUCAGCAAAGAGUUUGGAUUGGUGGUAUGGUUCUGUUCUGGACAAGAACUCCCUGCCCAUCCAUGCAGCCUAGCAUAGAUAAGAGCAAGGAGAGCAGCGAUAACCCCCCUUUGGGUAAACAGAACAGAACCAACAUAAGGUAUGCAGAUAUCGUUAAUGUUCUUAAUGACAGUAAUUUAAUGUAACAAUAUAAUUCAAGAAAUGAGUCUGAUCCUAACAGGAAGAGAGGAGAAGCUGGGGAUAGAGGAGGGUAAUUAGCUCCUGAGCAAUGCAAUAAAGCUGCUGAAAAUACUGAAUGGACCAUAUAUAUAGGAAUGCGGUGAUAGGCAUCAGCUGACUCUCAGCUGAUCCACGUCUACCUGUAGGAAAUAUAGGAAAUAGAGAGUCAGCUGAUGCGAGAUUGACUAAUGAGUCCUGCCAGAAAUAAUGCUAUGCUUGAUUUGUCAAUCAUAAAACACAGACUUAAAAACACUAACAUCAGGUAGCAUUUUCUUUUGUAAAAUUUCUUUACAAAACCAGAAUGAUACUCUCUAUAUUUUUAGCAUUCAUUGCACUAUAUGUUACAUGACUCAUGUUUACGUUACAGUACAAAAUUAUUCCUAAGUUUUCCCCUUUUGAAUGGAUGGUAAUGAAGACUAACCCCUGUGUAGGUUUACAGUGACUUCUAAUUGCUUUGAUAGUAUUUGAUUUCUUUUUUUUUUUUGUAGAUUCAGAAUAUAUUUCAAUAUGGUAUUACUGUAGAAAUCAGCCCAGUCUCAUUAGAAAAACGUACCUGUAGGAACAUUUUUGCAAAAUGAAAAUAUAAGUGUAACAAAAGCAAAUGUGACAUAAAAAGCAUUUGUAAUGGUGCUGUUUUAGCUUGUUUUGAUCUGUCAUCUUUGAGCUCUUUUACCGUGACUCAUCUUUCACGGGAUUCGUACGCAAGCCUUCCGCAUACGUGCAACUCCGUAUCAGCUGAGCUACUGAGCAAACUUGUUGUUGUGUCAGAAAAGCGGAAUAUGUGGAGCUGGUUAAGCGAUGCAAAGUCCAAAAUAGAUUUGUUUACAAAUCGUGCACUUUGAUGAAAAGCUUUUUGAAGUCAUAACAUAAUAUUGUGCAAUGAGAUGUGAAAAAGUCUUUAUUAAUCCAUAAUCUGACCCUGUAAUCAUAACUGUGUAUGAAAAGUGCUUGCUGUUUUACUGCCUCUAGUGUUCAUUUCUGUUAGAAACUGCAAUGAUAUGUACGUAUUGGUACUUAUUUUAUGACUUGCAAAAAUGUUCCCACAAGUAUGUCUUUCCAUGAGACCAGGUUGGUAGAAAUGUUGUCUUAUUCAUUUUGUUGUAGGUUUUGAACUUAAAUUUAAUAGUUUUGAAAAAAGUAUGUAAACAUGCAAAUUGGCCUGUAUAAAGAUUUGGUGGUGUUUGUGUCUAUAAGCCCGAAAAGAAUUGAUUGAAAGAUGUCGUCAUUGAAUGCAUUUUGUGCCAAAGCCAUAAUAAAUGAUUCACAGUUUAGCCCACAUA